RNAcentral lists this ribosomal RNA (468 nucleotides) under uncultured bacterium. RNAcentral describes it as "partial 16S ribosomal RNA". It matches the Rfam family "Bacterial small subunit ribosomal RNA", at positions 28 to 507 of the family's 1533-position model. The record is from RNAcentral.
GAUGAACGCUGGCGGAGUGCUUAACACAUGCAAGUCGAACGGAAAGGCCCUGCGUUUGUGGGGUGCUCGAGUAGCGAACGAGGAAGUAACCCGAGAGUAACCUGCCCUUGACUUAGGGAUAACUUAAGGAAACUGGGGAUAAUACCAGGUCGGCGCUCCUGCUGCAUGGUGGGGGGCAGAAAGUUUCAGCGGUUGGGGAUGGUAUCGCGGCUUAUCAGUGAGGUGGUGGGGUGGUGGCUUACCAAGGCCUUGACGGGUAGCCGGCCUGAGAGGGGGACCGGCCACAUUGGGACUGUGAGACGGCGCAGACUCCUAUGGGAGGCAGCAGUGGGGAAUAUUGUGCAAUGGGCGGAAGCAUGAUGCAGCAGCGCCGCGUUCGGGAUGACGGCCUUCUGGUUGUAAAACGCUUUCGCCUGUGACGAAGCGUGAGUGACGGUAAUGGGUAAAGAAGCACCGGCUAACUACGUG